GGAAGGAAGGGAAGGGAAGGGGACGGAGUGGCCGGGGCUGGCGCGGCGGGAGCAGAGCCCGCACUGCUUCUUCCUGAAGGGGCGGGGAGCAAGGAAGGGAAGAAAGGCAGAGGGAGUCGCGUCUGGUUCCUGCCUCCUCCCCGCUUCCUCGUCGCCAGCGUGCCAGGGCAAGGGGGAGCCCAGCGCUGUCCUCAGCAAAAGCUGGUGUUUUUUUAGGUCCAAAAAUAAAGGAACCCUAGAAUGAGCCUCCUAGGGACCAGGCCUAGAGGAGAAAAAAGGAGAAGCGCCAGACAAGGGUGCUAUUCACUGACCCGGUUGGGUUAAUACAAACACCCACACCCCGGGAAGGAGAGUAGCGGAGACAGAGCUUGGAGGGCGAGUGUGAGCGGAGAGCCCGGCGGGGGAGCGGUCAAGGCCACAGACUGGAUCGUUGAGGUGAAUCAUGUCAGGGCUUUGCACUGGACCUGGAAGCCUGGGACAAGCACACAAAACAUCCUGUGGCCGGGAGGUGCCCCCCUGAAAGAGGCAAAAAAGAUAGGGCUCUUGGAAAGGCUGGAUCUGAACAACGCUGCCUGCAUGACCUCCAUUUUCCAGCCUCAAUGAAGCUCCAAACCAGCCAACCGAAGCCCACCCUCCGCACCCCCACCCCCGUGCUCAGGGUGUCUACCCCUUCUGAAGCUGCUCUUAUUUUUUAUUUUCAUUAAUGCAUUUUUAAGAGUGAAAGGCGCGCGCACAUGCACACGCGCGCACAUGCACACGCGCGCACAUGCACACGCGCGCACAUGCACACACGCACGCGCGGGCUCGCACCCAGCGGCGGCGGCAGGUACGGCGGGGACAGGGUGCCCCGACUGUCAGUGCCUCUGAUCCCGGCCCGCCUCGUCCCCCGCA
Molecule: long non-coding RNA, 891 nt
Organism: Canis lupus familiaris (dog)
Lineage: Eukaryota; Metazoa; Chordata; Mammalia; Carnivora; Canidae
Exons: 3
Source: RefSeq, a predicted model, not a curated record